Molecule: long non-coding RNA, 641 nt
Organism: Eucalyptus grandis
Lineage: Eukaryota; Viridiplantae; Streptophyta; Magnoliopsida; Myrtales; Myrtaceae
Exons: 3
Source: RefSeq, a predicted model, not a curated record
GACCGAUGAGGACGAGGAAGUCAUCUACAAAAUUGAAGUUCCGGGAACAGGCGAAGAACACUGAUUGCAAUUGGGACUCAUGACUUGGAUGCGCUAGAAGGCCCCUUCAGCUAUGAGGCUUUGCCACCUUCCAGUAUAAGUUUCGUCCCCUUGAAGCAAGUAGUUUCAUGAUAAAGAUUGUAUUUUUCUGUUCAUGCAUGUGCCAUGAGUCUGAUCUGCAGAGAAGAUCUAUGUAUUUGUAAGGAUUUUGUUAACUGUUCUCUAGGGGCAAUUCUUAAGUCAACUGAUUAAGAAAUUUUUAUGGUUUUCAAUUGGAUGCACAGAUUGUUCUUGUGGUAUUUGUAAUUUUUUCUUUGGAAAGUGAAUCAUAUUAAAUAAGUAUGCUUAACAAGUGCCCUUUUGUUAACAGUGCUCUAAGGAGACUUACUAAGUAACUAAAAAGGAAAUUUUGUAGUUUCCAAUGCAUUAGCAUGUUAUUUCUAAUUACUAUUUUGCAAAGUGAAUUAUUCCAAAUUAAGUAUGCUUAACAUGUCAAUGCCACUUUUGAGUUCAUGAGAUUGCUUUCAUUUAUAUAUUUGUUUUGUUUUCUCUACCAACUGCGAUUGAUGUGUUGGCUGAUCACGCCUUAGUUUCUGUUCUGA